Molecule: ribosomal RNA, 469 nt
Filed under: uncultured diatom
Lineage: Eukaryota; Bacillariophyta
Description: SSU rRNA
Rfam family: Bacterial small subunit ribosomal RNA
Source: RNAcentral
GCCUAAAGAAAAGCUCGCGGCUGAUUAGCUUGUUGGUAAGGUAAUGGCUUACCAAGGCGACGAUCAGUAUCUGGUUUGAGAGGACGAUCAGACACACUGGAACUGAGACACGGUCCAGACUCCUACGGGAGGCAGCAGUGGGGAAUUUUCCGCAAUGGGCGAAAGCCUGACGGAGCAAUACCGCGUGAGGGAAGACGGCCUAUGGGUUGUAAACCUCUUUUUUCAGGGAGGAACAAAAUGACGUGUACCUGAAGAAUAAGCAUCGGCUAACUCCGUGCCAGCAGCCGCGGUAAGACGGAGGAUGCAAGUGUUAUCCGGAAUCACUGGGCGUAAAGCGUCUGUAGGUGGUUUGUUAAGUCAACUGUUUAAUCUUGAGGCUCAACUUCAAAUCAGCAGUCGAAACUAUCAGACUAGAGUAUAGUAGGGGUAAAGGGAAUUUCCAGUGGAGCGGUGAAAUGCGUAGAUAUUG